Molecule: non-coding RNA, 95 nt
Organism: Acanthosepion pharaonis
Lineage: Eukaryota; Metazoa; Mollusca; Cephalopoda; Sepiida; Sepiidae
Source: the annotation of a GenBank genome assembly
UUGAAACACCGGUUCUCGUACGAUCAUCGAAGUUAAGCAACAUCUAGCCUGGUCAGUACAUAGACGGGUGACCGCUUGGAAAUACCAUGUGCUAU